Molecule: long non-coding RNA, 666 nt
Organism: Pseudophryne corroboree (corroboree frog)
Lineage: Eukaryota; Metazoa; Chordata; Amphibia; Anura; Myobatrachidae
Exons: 4
Source: RefSeq, a predicted model, not a curated record
UCUAUGUAAUAUAUUCAGCAAAACAAUGUACACCAAUUCGUAUAUUUUUUGAGACUCAGUGUAUGGACUCACCAAAGAGGGAAGCCUGUAAAGAAGUUGCUGAGCUUUGACAAGUUGUUGCAAUAUUUUGGAAACUAACAUUCCCUGAUUUAAAAUGAGAUACAGUUUGGGGUUUAAUUAGCAAUUUUCCAGCCUUAGCUGCACUCCUGAUGAUCUCAUACUCGACCGCAAAUGACACAACAUGCACCACCAGAGCAGAUCCAUGGCGGUGUCAAAGUCAGGUUAACUGGAUGAAGCUGCGGUAGCAUCGCAAUGGAUAGUGAUGUCAUCAGUGGGUGUCCCUGCUCCGGAACCUGCAGUCUGGUGGCGUCUACACGUGAUGUGGUGUCGAGUAGAUAUAAGGUCUCCAAGCCCUGCAAACCAGCGCUAGAAGGGUGGAAGCUGAAGUGUUGCCAUGACAACAGUGGGAUGACAUUAUUGGUGAGCGCUCUGCACACCCUGUCCCGGCGUCAGAGACCCAGCUGGCAUUUUGUCACGCGGGAGGAGGAGAUCUAACACAGAGUUUUAAAACGUAGGAAAUUUGUGUAAUGUUUGAUGCUUCACUUUUCUGAGGACGGGGCAUGUGACGCCCGAAACGUCAAUAAAUCUUUGUUGCACCCUUUGAAA